Molecule: ribosomal RNA, 332 nt
Filed under: uncultured eukaryote
Lineage: Eukaryota
Description: partial 18S ribosomal RNA
Rfam family: Eukaryotic small subunit ribosomal RNA
Source: RNAcentral
CCCUUUGAUGUUCUGGGCCGCACGCGCGCUACACUGUUCGACGCAGCGAGUCUUAACCUUGACCGAAAGGUUUGGGUAAUCUUCAGCAAAGUCGAACGUGAUGGGGAUCGAUCAUUGCAAUUAUUGAUCGUGAACGAGGAAUUCCUAGUAAGUGCAAGUCAUCAGCUUGCGCUGAUUACGUCCCUGCCCUUUGUACACACCGCCCGUCGCUACUACCGAUUGAAUGGUUUAGUGAGAUCUCUGGAUUGACGCUGGCUAGGGGGCGACCCUUGGCCAGACUGCUCGAGAAACUGCUCAAACUUGAUCAUUUAGAGGAAGUAAAAGUCGUAACA